Molecule: unclassified non-coding RNA, 243 nt
Filed under: Glomus sp.
Lineage: Eukaryota; Fungi; Glomeromycota; Glomeromycetes; Glomerales; Glomeraceae
Description: partial contains 5.8S ribosomal RNA and internal transcribed spacer 2
Rfam family: 5.8S ribosomal RNA (bases 1-65)
Source: RNAcentral
GUGAAUCAUCGAAUUUUUGAACGCAAAUUGCACUCUCUUCGGAGAGUAUGACUGUUUGAGGGUCAGCCUAAAAAUAAUUGAAGUAGUCGCUGUUUCGUGGUUACAUUCGUCGGAAAUUGGGUCUUCUUAAACUUUUGGGCUUUUUAAGCGGCUUAAAUUUUUCUUUACGUUUCUACGACGGUUUUAAAUAUUUUACUUUUUAUUCACGUUUAAGAAUUCGAUCUUUAUUAGACGUGGCGGUUG